RNAcentral lists this ribosomal RNA (410 nucleotides) under uncultured bacterium. Its description in RNAcentral is "bacterial SSU rRNA". It matches the Rfam family "Bacterial small subunit ribosomal RNA", at positions 370 to 772 of the family's 1533-position model. The record is from RNAcentral.
AAUGGGCGAAAGCCUGAUCCAGCCAUGCCGCGUGUCUGAAGAAGGCCUUCGGGUUGUAAAGGACUUUUGUCAGGGAGGAAAUCCCUAGCGUUAAUACCGCUGGGGGAUGACAGUACCUGAAGAAUAAGCACCGGCUAACUACGUGCCAGCAGCCGCGGUAAUACGUAGGGUGCGAGCGUUAAUCGGAAUUACUGGGCGUAAAGCGUGCGCAGGCGGUUUGAUAAGCCAGAUGUGAAAUCCCCGAGCUCAACUUGGGAACUGCGUUUGGAACUGUCAGACUAGAGUGCGUCAGAGGGGGGUGGAAUUCCGCGUGUAGCAGUGAAAUGCGUAGAGAUGCGGAGGAACACCGAUGGCGAAGGCAGCCCCCUGGGAUGACACUGACGCUCAUGCACGAAAGCGUGGGGAGCAAA